Molecule: small nuclear RNA, 105 nt
Organism: Herpailurus yagouaroundi (jaguarundi)
Lineage: Eukaryota; Metazoa; Chordata; Mammalia; Carnivora; Felidae
Source: RefSeq, a predicted model, not a curated record
GCUUGCUUUGGCAGUGCAUAUACUAAAAUUAGAACGAUACAGAGAGUAUUAGCAUGGGCCCUUUGCAAGGAUGACACACAAAUUCAUAAAGUGUUCCUUAUUUUU